UCCGGCGUAGCUCAGUUGGUAGAGCAGUCGGCUGUUAACCGACUUGUCGCAAGUUCGAGUCUUGCCGCCGGAGCCA
Molecule: transfer RNA, 76 nt
Filed under: Erythrobacter sp.
Lineage: Bacteria; Pseudomonadati; Pseudomonadota; Alphaproteobacteria; Sphingomonadales; Erythrobacteraceae
Also listed under: 7 other names
Description: tRNA-Asn
Rfam family: tRNA
About the family: Transfer RNA (tRNA) molecules are approximately 80 nucleotides in length.
Source: RNAcentral